Molecule: ribosomal RNA, 244 nt
Filed under: uncultured bacterium
Lineage: Bacteria
Description: partial 16S ribosomal RNA
Rfam family: Bacterial small subunit ribosomal RNA
Source: RNAcentral
CUUUAGUGGCGAACGGGUGAGUAACGCGUGAAUAACCUGACUCAAAGAGGGGGAUAACAACGGGAAACUGUUGCUAAUACCGCAUGAGACCACAACACCGCAUGAUGAAGGGGUCAAAGAUUUAUCGCUUUGAGAGGGGUUCGCGUCCCAUUAGGUAGUUGGAGGGGUAACGGCCCACCAAGCCAACGACGGGUAGCCGAGCUGAGAGGCUGAUCGGCCACACUGGAACUGAGACACGGUCCAG